Molecule: ribosomal RNA, 301 nt
Filed under: uncultured bacterium
Lineage: Bacteria
Description: partial 16S ribosomal RNA
Rfam family: Bacterial small subunit ribosomal RNA
Source: RNAcentral
CAGCAGCCACGGUAAGACAGAGGAUGCAAGCGUUAUCCGGAAUGAUUGGGCGUAAAGCGUGCGUAGGUGGUGGUUUAAGUCCGUUGUGAAAGCCCUGGGCUCAACCUGGGAAUUGCAGUGGAUACUGGGUCACUAGAGUGUGGUAGAGGAUAGUGGAAUUUCCGGUGUAGCAGUGAAAUGCGUAGAGAUCGGAAGGAACAUCUGUGGCGAAGGCGACUAUCUGGGCCAACACUGACACUGAGGCACGAAAGCGUGGGGAGCAAACAGGAUUAGAUACCCCAGUAGUCCCUGUCUCUUAUAC